Molecule: ribosomal RNA, 370 nt
Filed under: uncultured organism
Description: partial 16S ribosomal RNA
Rfam family: Bacterial small subunit ribosomal RNA
Source: RNAcentral
GUAGGGUGCAAGCGUUAAUCGGAAUUACUGGGCGUAAAGCGUGCGCAGGCGGUUUUGUAAGUCUGAUGUGAAAUCCCCGGGCUCAACCUGGGAAUUGCAUUGGAGACUGCAAGGCUAGAAUCUGGCAGAGGGGGGUAGAAUUCCACGUGUAGCAGUGAAAUGCGUAGAUAUGUGGAGGAACACCGAUGGCGAAGGCAGCCCCCUGGGUCAAGAUUGACGCUCAUGCACGAAAGCGUGGGGAGCAAACAGGAUUAGAUACCCUGGUAGUCCACGCCCCUAAACGAUGUCUACUAGUUGUCGGGUCUUAAUUGACUUGGUAACGCAGCUAACGCGUGAAGUAGACCGCCUGGGGAGUACGGUCGCAAGAUUA